Molecule: ribosomal RNA, 397 nt
Filed under: uncultured bacterium
Lineage: Bacteria
Description: partial 16S ribosomal RNA
Rfam family: Bacterial small subunit ribosomal RNA
Source: RNAcentral
CCUACGGGAGACAGCAGUGAGGAAUAUUGGUCAAUGGACGAGAGUCUGAACCAGCCAUGUCGCGUGAAGGAUGACUGCCCUAUGGGUUGUAAACUUCUUUUAUAUGGGAAUAAAAUGUUCCACGUGUGGGGUUUUGUAUGUACCCUAUGAAUAAGGAUCGGCUACCUCCGUGCCAGCAUCCGCGGUAAUACGGAGGAUCCGAGCGUUAUCCGGAUUUAUUGGGUUUAAAGGGAGCGUAGGUGGAUUGUUAAGUCACUUGUGAAAGUUCGCGGCUCAACCGUAAAAUUGCAGUUGAAACUGGCAGUCUUGAGUAGGGUAGAGGUGGGCGGAAUUCGUGGUGUAGCGGUGAAAUGCUUAGAUAUCGCGAAGAACUCCGAUUGCGAAGGCAGUUCACUGG